UUUUUUUUUCUUUGAGACGGAGUUUUGCUCUUAUGCUCAGGCUGGAGUGCAAUGGCGUGAUCUCGGCUCACCGCAACCUCCGCCUCCUGGGUUCCAGCGAUUUUCCUGCCUCAGCUUCCCGAGUAGCUGGGAUUACAGGCAUGCACCACCAUGCCAGGUUAAUUUUGUAUUUUUAGUAGAGACAGGGUUUCUCCAUGUUGAGGUCAGUCUGGUCUUAAACUCUUGACCUCAGGUGAUCUGCCUGCCUCAGCCUCCCAAAGUGCUGGGAUUAUAGGCAUGAGCCCACACCCGGCCUCUUUUUUUAAUUUUUAUUUUUUGAGACAGAGUCUCAUUCUGUCACCCAGGCUGGAGUGCAGUGGCGCCAUCUUGCUCACUGCAGCCUCGUCCUCCUGGGUUCAAGUGAUUCUCCUGCCUCAGCCUCCUGAGUAGCUGGGACUACAGGUGCCCGCCAUCACUUCCAGCUAAUUUUUAUAUUUUUAAUAGAAUUGGUGUUUUGCCAUGUUGGCCAGGCUGGUCUGGAACUCCUGACCUCAACUGAUCUGCCCGCCUGGGCCUCCCAAAGUGCUGGGAUUACAGGUGUGAGCCACCACACCCUGCCGUUGGUAGUUCUUGUGGGAAGAGAGGGGGCAGCUCUGGGGUGACAUCUAAGACCUGAGGAGGAGAGGUCCUGGGGAGCAGUUGGCUAUCUGUGGGAAGAACAACCCAGGCCUUGCAGAGACCCUACCUUGAUGGAGUGGAGACCAUGGAGGAGCUAAGCGAGCAAGGGACAGAGAGAAGAAGGCAGGGAGGGAGUAGGGGGCCUUCGAGCAUGGAAGUCUCAAAACCAGCAAAUGGACUUCAGCUUUCACUUGGAGAUGGGGAGACUUUGCAGGGUUUUAAGCGUGGGACGGACAUGGUCUGACUUAAAGGAGCCAGCCAGCUUUCAGUGGACCAGCCAUGGCAGGCUGAAUCCUAAGGAGAGAGACAUGCUAAUUAGACUCUGAGCUGGCCCCUGGGGGCUCCCAGGGUAGUGUGGUACCCCCAGUCAAUCAGAUUUGCACCGUACAAAGGUCACUCCCACCAGCACAUGGGAACGUUUUGACCUAUGUAGUGUGUCCCGAUAAAGAUUUAUUAAAUAUAAAUGGACCAGGCAGGGUGGCGCACGCCUGUAACCCCAGCAUUUUGGGAGGCUGAGGCUGGUGGAUCACUUGAGGUCAGGAGUUCGAGACCAGCC
Molecule: long non-coding RNA, 1213 nt
Filed under: Macaca fascicularis (crab-eating macaque)
Lineage: Eukaryota; Metazoa; Chordata; Mammalia; Primates; Cercopithecidae
Description: lncRNA (ENSMFAG00000054929.1)
Source: RNAcentral